CAAUAGCGUAUAUUAAAGUUGUUGCAGUUAAAAAGCUCGUAGUUGGAUUUGUGGCGUACGGUGUGUUCCGGGCACUUGUUGUCUGAGUAACCUGCUGUUGCCAUCCUUGGGUGGAACCUGUGUGGCAUUAGGUUGUCGUGCAGGGGAUGCCCAUCAUUUACUGUGAAAAAAUUAGAGUGUUCAAAGCAGGCUUAUGCCGUUGAAUAUAUUAGCAUGGAAUAAUGAGAUAGGACUUUUUUGCUAUUUUGUUGAUUUGCGCAAGAAGGUAAUGAUUAAUAGGGACAGUUGGGGGUAUUCGUAUUCCAUUGUCAGAGGUGAAAUUCUUGGAUUUUUGGAAGACGAACUACUGCGAAAGCAUUUACCAAGGAUGUUUUCAUUAA
RNAcentral lists this ribosomal RNA (380 nucleotides) under uncultured eukaryote. RNAcentral describes it as "partial 18S ribosomal RNA". It matches the Rfam family "Eukaryotic small subunit ribosomal RNA", at positions 592 to 976 of the family's 1831-position model. The record is from RNAcentral.